UUUUUGUAUUAUUAAUAAAAAAUAAUUUCUGCUCAAUGAUUAUUAAAUAGCCGCAGUACUUUGACUGUGCGAAGGUAGCAUAAUCAUUUGCUUUUUAAUUUGAGGCUUGUAUGAAUGGGAAAAUGAGAGUUUUUCUGUCUUUAUUUAAGGGAUAAAAUUUGGUUAUUUUGUGAAGAAACAAAAUUGAGGUAAAGGGACAAGAAGACCCUUUUGAUCUUUAUUUUUUUUUAUAAUUUUUGUUUUAUUUUAAGAAAAUUUGGUUGGGGCGAUCAAGGAAGAAAAAAUCUUCUUUUUUAAAAGGAUUAAAGAUCCAGAAUUUUUGAUUGAAGGAUUAAGUUACCAAAGGGAUAACAGCGUGAUUUUUUUUGUGAGUUCUUAUUAAAAGAAAAGAUUGCGACCUCGAUGUUGACUUAUUAUUACUUUUUGGUGUAGCAGCUGUAAAAGUGGGUCUGUUC
RNAcentral lists this ribosomal RNA (455 nucleotides) under unidentified. RNAcentral describes it as "Cratenemertidae Hoplo_CB025_CB025_18_01 partial 16S ribosomal RNA". It matches the Rfam family "Bacterial large subunit ribosomal RNA", at positions 1831 to 2582 of the family's 2925-position model. The record is from RNAcentral.